GUAAUGCCGGAUGCUCCAGUUGAUCGCAUGGUCUUCUGGGAAAGCUUUCGCGGUAUGGGAUGGGGUCGCGUCCUAUCAGCUUGACGGCGGGGUAACGGCCCACCGUGGCUUCGACGGGUAGCCGGCCUGAGAGGGCGACCGGCCACAUUGGGACUGAGAUACGGCCCAGACUCCUACGGGAGGCAGCAGUGGGGAAUAUUGCACAAUGGGCGCAAGCCUGAUGCAGCGACGCCGCGUGAGGGAUGGAGGCCUUCGGGUUGUAAACCUCUUUUAUCGGGGAGCAAGCGAGAGUGAGUUUACCCGUUGAAUAAGCACCGGCUAACUACGUGCCAGCAGCCGCGGUAAUACGUAGGGUGCAAGCGUUAUCCGGAAUUAUUGGGCGUAAAGGGCUCGUAGGCGGUUCGUCGCGUCCGGUGUGAAAGUCCAUCGCUUAACGGUGGAUCCGCGCCGGGUACGGGCGGGCUUGAGUGCGGUAGGGGAGACUGGAAUUCCCGGUGUAACGGUGGAAUGUGU
RNAcentral lists this ribosomal RNA (513 nucleotides) under Bifidobacterium longum subsp. suillum. Its description in RNAcentral is "bacterial SSU rRNA". It matches the Rfam family "Bacterial small subunit ribosomal RNA", at positions 163 to 691 of the family's 1533-position model. Lineage: Bacteria; Bacillati; Actinomycetota; Actinomycetes; Bifidobacteriales; Bifidobacteriaceae. The record is from RNAcentral.